RNAcentral lists this ribosomal RNA (253 nucleotides) under uncultured bacterium. RNAcentral's name for it is "partial 16S ribosomal RNA". It matches the Rfam family "Bacterial small subunit ribosomal RNA", at positions 524 to 776 of the family's 1533-position model. The record is from RNAcentral.
UACGAAGGGGGCUAGCGUUAUUCGGAAUCACUGGGCUUAAAGAGUCCGUAGGCGGCUUGUUAGGUGAGGUGUGAAAUCCCUCGGCCCAACCGAGGAAUUGCGCUUCAAACCGGCAAGCUAGAGGAGGAUAGAGGUGGGCGGAACUGAUGGUGGAGCGGUGAAAUGCGUUGAUAUCAUCAGGAACACCGGAGGCGAAGGCGGUCCACUGGGUCCUAUCUGACGCUGAGGGACGAAAGCUAGGGGAGCGAACGGG